GACGAACGCUGGCGGCGUGCCUAAUACAUGCAAGUCGAGCGAGCUGAAUUCAAAGAUUCCUUCGGGAUGAUUUGUUGGACGCUAGCGGCGGAUGGGUGAGUAACACGUGGGCAAUCUGCCCUAAGACUGGGAUACCACUUGGAAACAGGUGCUAAUACCGGAUAACAACAUGAAUCGCAUGAUUCAAGUUUGAAAGGCGGCGCAAGCUGUCACUUUAGGAUGAGCCCGCGGCGCAUUAGCUAGUUGGUGGGGUAAAGGCCGUACCAAGGCAAUGAUGCGUAGCCGAGUUGAGAGACUGAUCGGCCACAUUGGGACUGAGACACGGCCCAAACUCCUACGGGAGGCAGCAGUAGGGAAUCUUCCACAAUGGACGCAAGUCUGAUGGAGCGACGCCGCGUGAAGGAAGAAGUAUCUCGGUAUGUAAACUUCUAUCAGCAGGGAAGAAA
This 446-nucleotide ribosomal RNA is filed under the name uncultured bacterium. RNAcentral describes it as "bacterial SSU rRNA". It matches the Rfam family "Bacterial small subunit ribosomal RNA", at positions 28 to 450 of the family's 1533-position model. The record is from RNAcentral.